This 68-nucleotide transfer RNA is filed under the name Amalda northlandica (Northland olive shell). Its description in RNAcentral is "tRNA-Gly". Lineage: Eukaryota; Metazoa; Mollusca; Gastropoda; Neogastropoda; Olividae. The record is from RNAcentral.
AUCUUUUGAGUAUGAAGCUGUACGUUUGCCUUCCAAGCAAGAGGAUUAAAAAUAAUUUAAAAAAGAUA